This 400-nucleotide ribosomal RNA is filed under the name uncultured bacterium. RNAcentral describes it as "bacterial SSU rRNA". It matches the Rfam family "Bacterial small subunit ribosomal RNA", at positions 355 to 747 of the family's 1533-position model. The record is from RNAcentral.
UGGGGAAUUUUGGACAAUGGGCGAAAGCCUGAUCCAGCAAUGCCGCGUGAGUGAAGAAGGCCUUCGGGUUGUAAAGCUCUUUUGUCAGGGAAGAAACGGUGAAAGCUAAUAUCUUUUGCUAAUGACGGUACCUGAAGAAUAAGCACCGGCUAACUACGUGCCAGCAGCCGCGGUAAUACGUAGGGUGCAAGCGUUAAUCGGAAUUACUGGGCGUAAAGCGUGCGCAGGCGGUUUUGUAAGUCUGAUGUGAAAUCCCCGGGCUCAACCUGGGAAUUGCAUUGGAGACUGCAAGGCUAGAAUCUGGCAGAGGGGGGUAGAAUUCCACGUGUAGCAGUGAAAUGCGUAGAUAUGUGGAGGAACACCGAUGGCGAAGGCAGCCCCCUGGGUCAAGAUUGACGCU